UGUAUAUAAUUUUAUUCAUUUUCAACUUCACUUAAAAAGAAGUGAUAAUAAUGAUUGAUGAAUUUAUUCAUAAUCCAGUUACAAGAUUCGCUUGUUAAAUAAUUCAUAGGAUAUAUAUUUGUGAUUUAGGUGGAGACGUCAGCUUGCUUAUAUGACUCUUGAAGUGGCGAUCCCAACACUGAUCAAAGAUGAAUUAAACGCCAAAGUCAUACGACCGCAGUACCGCGACAUUAUUGUGACCCUGGCGAGAUUUGAAUACCAAAGAAGAGCAAAUGUUAUCACUGGGAAAGCCAGAAGAAUCACACGAUUGUUCACAUCCGAAGAGAAAAGUGAUCGUAAUCGGGUUGCAGCUACUUUUGGGUGAAAUUCCAUCGUGAAAAAGACCAACAUGGCUUUCCUAACUUGAACGUUGAAUUCGAGUAAUGGUGGCAUUGAAAUGUACACGUGUAAGCAAUAUGUACGCUUGGGAUUAAUUAAGCAUAUCAAUUCGUGCAAUUGACAAAACAGCUUGCAAAAUGGGUUGCAAUCAACUAUAUAAAUCGGAGCCGGCGGAUCAACACCAGCCAAUUGGCCGAUUAAGAUAAAAAAAUGCACUAGUAAGCUGAAGAGUAGCUAACUUAAAAAUUACUAUUCCAUUACUCUACAAUUCCUGAUCCAUUCCUUCGAUUCAUUUUCCAUUCUGUUCCAUUACUUAUUGAUUCGUAUAUAUAUGAAACAUGCUGUAUUCGAACAUUGUCAAUUUAAACAUUGACAUUUGUACAUACGGUUUUUAUGUCAAAGUGAAAAUGCAAAACAAACAUAAACAAUUGACAUCAAAACUUGUUUGAAUAGUAAAAUCGUUGUUUAAUUUGAAAUGAUGAAAAUUAAAAAGAAAUUAGACGGAAAAAGUGGAAAAAAAAUCAUACAAUACAAUUGGAGUAGGUGUCAGUUCCAUCUGCAUAUCGAAUGUAAAUCAACAAAAUAUCUAAUAAGAAGAAGUAUAAACAAGAUAUGUACAGCUUGUCGCUACGAAGAACCACAAAACUGCGUUUGAAUUGCAAAAGAAUUGAAGUUUUGAUAAACAAAAUGGCAUCAUGCAUAAUGUGCUAACAAUACGUUCGAUUGUUUUCCAAUUCCAACAAAAUAACGUACCGUUACCGGCUUUGUACAUGUGCCAACAUGAAACUAGACAUACAGAGCUAGUAGUCAUAGCAAAGUGAGAUACGCAUCAGACCCAGACAUUGAACAACAAUUGAAGUGAUCGGACGCAUACAUUAUUUUGUAUUCUUGAUCCGUCGACACAGUUAGUUUUAAAAUAUUUAUUUAAAAGUUUUGUUUAAAGUUUGCUGAAUUUUUAGUUGACAGAAGAUGAAACGACGUCGCAAACCCACUUCUGUUCAACGGAAAAAGCCAUUGAAACGGCAAAAUCAAAGCAAAACGAGGUGAAUCAAAGAAUAAAAACGAAGAAAUAUUCACCGUGGUGAUGAACACUGAAUCAAUUUUCCCAGACAAACAACGUCUGAGUGAAUUGAUUGAAAGAGUUGUGGCCAAUUCCUCAAAAAUGUUCAAAUUGGCAUCGCUUUAUGUGCUCUUCAUAUUGAAUCGGUUGGUUGACAGUGGUUCCGAUGUCGAAAUCCGUCGUGAAUUUUUGGCCAAAUUCAAUGCAAUGAGGAGAUAUUUCAAGAAUUUGAGUGCAACAAAACACCAAAUAAAUAAAACCAUGGACUAUCUAUGUGACCGAAAUUCAACGUGCCGACCAAACGCCAAUUUACUGAAUCGCUAUUUGGAAGAAUUGAAACCAUUGGUGCCACCACAAGCGGUACAACCACCACCACAGCGACGGCGACGACAAACGCCACCACGGCGUGGGCCUCAAAGUGGACGAGGACGGCAACAACAACCGUUGCCAGUGCCACGCGGUUGGUUGUUCGAGACGCACAGCAAAUAUGACUGGUACAAGUACGUUUACGAAUUGCACAAUGCAAACAAUCCGCAUUGAAAGUGGUCAUCGUUUGUGGCGGUGCCACAAUCAAGCAAUGCCAAUCAUCAUGCAAGAUUCGACACAGAAGGAUUCAUAUUGCUAACGAAUCUCUUGUAUGAAAGAGGUACUGGUGAAAAAAUCCCAUCUUGCAGAGGUCGGUGGUCGCAUGCCCAAUACAAUGCAUUUUGGCGUCGAUUUGGAAAUUUGGACAAAAUCAAUAAGCCGAGUCAACAGUUUGACUUUUCAUUCACCACCGAUGGAUGUUCAGCCCAUUUGAAAAUGAUUCAGCGAUCUAGGAAUGUUAACAACACCAACACCAACACCGACACCAACAAUAAUGAUGAUGAUGUUGAUGAUGACAAUAAUGCAGUUCCGAACCCAGAACAACCGGAUCCAGUGCCGCCAAUCAUUCAAUGUGCUUACAAUUCAGGACAAAUUGAGAGAAUUAUCGGUUGUGAUCCGGGCUACAGGGAAUUUGUGGGGGUUUUACGCAAAGAUUUAGCGACCGAUAAUGAAGAAAAUUUUCAGAAAUCAUCGAAAGAGUGGCACCAUAUGACCGGUUUUUUCGACCGUCAAUACAAACUGAAGCGAUUUAGCGUUUGAGAAAAAAUGUCGUAAACUGCGUGAAAAUCGUGAAAUCUAUCAGGAAACGCCAUCGAAGAAAAGUGCCGACUAUCGUACCUAUCUGGAUUACCAGCUGCAAAUAUUCAAUGAAUCAUUCGAGAUAAAGUACCAAAAACGUGUGGUUCGUUUAAAUUUUGUUGCAUAUAGACGUACGCAGGUAGAAUUGCAUGUGUUGGUGAAGCAAAUGACAAAAGUCGAUCGUGAAAUGUCGGACGCUGAGAAAACAGUGGUAUUGGCAUUUGGUGGUGCAAAAUUUGCAUCAAAUUCACCCAUCUACAUUUUGAGAUGAACACAUUUGAGUACGGAAAUAAAUUCAGCCGACAUAUUUCCAUCAAUGUAUGAAGUCUAUAUAUGUGACAGAUCAACACUCACUGAAAAAGACCAACUACGUAGCAAGGAAAGAGGAGGCGGAGUAUUGAUUGCAGUCAGUAACAAAUUCAAGUCAAUUUGCAUCGAAGCGGGAGACCAAUUCGGAGCGGAACAAAUUUGGGUCAAAGUAGCUGGUAUUAUUAUUUGGGUCAGAGUAGCUGAGUUGAGACUGGAUAAUUUUUAUACAAUUAUUAAGUCAUCAGGAAACAACCGAUGUGGUUUAUCAAGUCAAUGAGUUGAAGAACAAAGUCAGCAAAGCGCAUCGAAAUAGAAAAUUGCUCAACAAAGUCGAAUCGAUUGAACAUUACAAACAAAUAAGAAAGGAAUAUAAACGAAGUUCACGCUCAGCUCUCAAAGACUAGAGAAUAGAGAUGGAGAAACAGAUAGAUGAUAAUCCAAAGAAAUUGUUCAAGCAUGUGAAUUUCAAAAAAAGGGAUAAGUGAAGAUCUGCCUCAUGAAAUAACUUAUAUGGAUGAAAAAGCCAACGACCAAUCAUCAAUUGCUGGUUUUUUUUGCAAAACACUUUGGCACCGCUUACAGCAAUUUAGAGGGUGAUCUGCGAUAUGACAGCUCUGAGAGAGAAUAGAGAAAAUACGUGAUAUUUGUGCUGAAAUAUCAAUGAUCGAAAUAACAGAGGAUCUAGUUGGUCAACAUAUAAGCAAGCUGCCAGAUAAUCUAGUCUGUGGUCCGGAUGAAGUUUCAAAUAAAUUCAUCAAGCAUUGUUUAAUUUCAUUGCAGGGGCCAAUCUCAACACUGUUAAAGGAAUCACUUGAAACUGCCACUGUACCGCAAAUAUGGAGAGCGUUCAUUUAUCAAAUAGUUUAAACUAUUACGAUUCAGCGCAUAAUAUACGGGCUACACCAUUUUUUGAUAUACCAAUAAGAAGGGUAGGGUCCUUUAAUUUCUGGUGAAAUAAUUUCUACACUUAGAGAAAUAGUUUCUGAAUUUACUGAAAUAAUAAGAAGAAGUGAUUACACAAAAUAUGAACCAAUUAUAUGAUUAUAACUUUCAAUGAUUAUUAUACGAAAAA
Molecule: long non-coding RNA, 3983 nt
Organism: Contarinia nasturtii (swede midge)
Lineage: Eukaryota; Metazoa; Arthropoda; Insecta; Diptera; Cecidomyiidae
Exons: 5
Source: RefSeq, a predicted model, not a curated record